CUGGGCAUGCCUGUGAACCAGUUUCUAGUAUGAAUGCCAGGUGAUGAGCUACCUUAAGAUCCUCCUGCCGGGACUUCUCUGCAUCGACGUUUUGUUGCAGUAACUGGAAAAGUAAGGAAUACAGCAUCUAAACAGCCGCGCCCAAGCAAGCUGAGCCGGGACUGGAGGAGAGAUCCAGGCCACCCACCAAGCAAACUCAAUCUCUCUGUGUGUCGCCUUCAGCCCAGCAGUGAGAAACACUGCUGGCAAGACCAGCCCAGGAAGCAAGUGCUGGAUGGCUAGGACACAGCCUGGCCUUUCCUCCUCUGACCUCAGGUCUGCAGUGCUUCACGGUGCCUGAGGUCUCUAACUUCCCAGGACCCAGGCCUGCCAGGCCCAAGGAAGGGGAUGAAUAGAUCCAGGGCCAGGAUCGGAGCUUCAGGAGCCAGGUAGCCCAGCAGCUCGGUGCAGGGAGGCCCCACAGACCACUGUUCUGACCCCGCUUGUGUACUUGGAAUACACAGUCUCUUAAUGAGAGACCUUAACUGUGUCCACGCUGCAGCGUCCCAGUCGGUAGAUUGGCUGGAUGGAACUAAUCAUGAUUCCAUGUGGGAGAUCUGCCGGAGACCAUGCCUGAGCGGCUGCUUGGGUUAGAGGCUUCAGCGAUAUGAAUCCAGGGAUCCGAAGCCAUUACAGUCAACUGAAUAUCUUCUAGUGACAAGGACAAGAGGAAAAAGACAGAUCCCUGGGCUCAAGGAAGACGUGAACUCCCACAUCACUGCUAUGUCCCCACACUGGAUGUCACAUGCAGCAAGUGUUCAUUUACCCUGCAGCUGCCUCUGCUAUGCAAUGCAUGCCUCGUUUGGGCUGAGCCUGUGACCUUUACUCUGUUCUUUUCCAACACCAGCACACUGCAUGCAUGCGGGCCUGAGGUAAAGACACAUGAAGGAAAGAAACCUUGCCAAUCGCCAUCUACCUCACUAACUGUAACCCCUGGCCUGCUGUGAGGGUCCAGGUUAGAAAGGCAGAGAGUGCUCUUCUCAACUGCCUUCUCUCCACACAGGGCUGAAAUCACAGGGAAUGAAGACUCAGCUAUGGAGACUGCAUGGGGGACAGAGACUCGGCUAUAUGGAGCACAUGCCCCACCCCAGCCUGGGUCCUGUGCAGCAAGGGUCAGAGAAGGAAGCAGGAUGGGGCACAGGCAGCUGGAGCUCCGUCUUCCUCACGAGGGAAAGGAGCCCACCAGUGCCUCACUCAGGCUUCACGGUAACAGCUGUGAGACCUUCGCUGUCCUUAUGCUAGAGAGAGGCACCUGCCAAGGCUGCAGCUCUCCCACACCUCAGCCACUGAUGUUCGCCGCAGCACAGGAGAGCCUUCCCCAGAACCAAACCCUGCUCUGAGGUGAAGGAAGCCUUCUGAACACCUCAAUGCCCUUUAUUUUCCACAGUGGCUACACAUCUCCCUCUACAACUGCUACAGUGAACUUCCGUAUGGAAACAAAAUCUCCUUUCCUGUCACUGUUCUCUGCCGCACCCUGCCAGUGCUGUCCUCAGGGAUCUGCACACAGUCAGAAGGUACGGCCAUUCUCCCCGCGCACUGGAGACCCCUCCCAAGACCCUGCAUCGAAACAGCACCCCGAGACACAGCCUUUCCUCCAUGAUGGGUCAGACCACCCAAGUCCAAGAGGCAUCCAAGACUCAAUUAUUGAAGUAGGUCACCCACACCUUUGGUGGCCUCCUAACACCUGGUUUGUGACAGUAUGCUUCUGAGUUACUGAUAACGAGGCACUUCUGGCCUCUACAGUUGUCCUUUGAAGACCACAAACUAGCUGUGCUGGGUUGGGUUGAGGCACUGCACAGAGCUACCGGCAAGGCUCAGAGGCCACGGGGCACAGUGGGGCUCCCGGAAACGGGCUGGGGCUUACCUUCUGUGACUUGAGCUCUUUGGUGAGCAUCAGCACCUGCUGCUCCAAGGCCGCCACCUUCUCCUGGGCUGUGCGGCUCCGAGCCAGUCCAUCGGAAAAGAAUGGGAAGGUGUUGCUUUGCCGCUUGGGUUUCUGCGUGGGACCUGAGGGCACAGAGGACCUGGGUGCAGACUUGGCAGGAUCCUCUGGCUCUUUUUCUGCUUGAGGAGAGAAACGCGGACGUCAGGAUGGGCAGACCUACUGGUGCCUUAUCCAUAUCUUCAGGCAACAGCGUCUUUCUGCAGUUUCCUCGUGAACUGGAAAGGGGGCAAUACACUUUGCUUAUUUAUGAAUGCUUACUAGGGAUUCUGCGGGAAAGAUGGCAUUCUGGGGACAGAUGGCAGUGACAGCCACAUAAUAGUGUGAAUGCACUCAAUGCCACUGGAUGGUGUAAUGGGAAGUGAUAAAAUGGUAAAUUUUGUUAUGUACAUGUAUUUUACUACAAUAAAACAUUCUAACCCGG
This is a long non-coding RNA of Mus musculus (house mouse), 2405 nucleotides long. RefSeq annotates it as predicted gene, 42281. NCBI's taxonomy places the organism in Eukaryota, Metazoa, Chordata, Mammalia, Rodentia, Muridae. The transcript has 4 exons. The record is from RefSeq and is a predicted model, not a curated record.